This 2212-nucleotide small RNA is filed under the name Pongo abelii (Sumatran orangutan). Its description in RNAcentral is "processed transcript". The record is from RNAcentral. Lineage: Eukaryota; Metazoa; Chordata; Mammalia; Primates; Hominidae.
UUUUAGACAGCUGAUCUCUCAUGUUAGAAGAUACUGCAUAAACAGCCUUAUUCCCGAAUAAAAGUGCUGAGUGAAGCUAUUGCUCAAUUCAUUGUUUUGCUGAGGGCUUAUAUGUGUAGAAUUCUUUCAUAAAUUGAUUUUUAAUUAAAUUAAUUAUAAGCAUAGAAGUUUCUAAAGCAGAAUUAACACAAUAGCCCAUUUCAACAAGCUGUAUAUUUGAGAACAGAGUGACAGUUAUUAACAUCCAGUAGGAAAUUAAGAGUUAUUGUUCACAAAUAAUAAAUUACUAGAUUCUGACAAAGACUAAUGGGGAUUAAGCGUGACUCAAUAUAACAAAUUUAAGCCUAAGCAUCUUUUAGGCCCUGAAAUGAACAAGGUAUUGCUGCCAGUUAAAGUCAGUUGUGUCUUACAACCUGCUAGCUGUCUUGCUGUAAAAACUGUAACGUAAGGCCCUUGAAAUAGAUGCCAUCAUCAGCCCCAGCCCCCAAGCAUUCAUCUAUUUAAACACAUGACAGAAGAUGGUGGAAGAGAGUUCAGCAGCUAUUCAUGUGGUAGAAGUGGUUAUUGUAUUAGGACAUACUCUGUUGUAGGCCAGCAACUUUUGAGUUAAAACACUGCAGCUGUUUCUCUUCCUUUCUUUACAUCUCUCUUCUUUUUUUUUUUUUUUUUCUUAGCAAUAAACUCACUUUUUUUCCCCCACAAACAUUUUGUGUAGAUCCAAGGAGCAACAAAUUCCAACUUUCUGCUGUAGCAAUUACACCCUUUUUGUCUGUUUGACUAGAUUUUAGUAUUUUACUUUCUUUCUUCUUUUUAAAGGCAACGGACAGCCAAGACGUAGAUCCAUCCAAGACUUGACUGUAACUGGAACAGAACCUGGUCAGGUGAGCAGUAGGUCAUCCAGUCCCAGUGUCAGAAUGAUUACUACCUCAGGACCAACCUCAGAAAAGCCAACUCGAAGUCAUCCGUGGACCCCUGAUGAUUCCACAGAUACCAAUGGAUCAGAUAACUCCAUCCCAAUGGCUUAUCUUACACUGGAUCACCAACUACAGCCUCUAGCACCGUGCCCAAACUCCAAAGAAUCUAUGGCAGUGUUUGAACAGCAUUGUAAAAUGGCACAAGAAUAUAUGAAAGUUCAAACAGAAAUUGCAUUGUUAUUACAGAGAAAGCAAGAACUAGUUGCAGAACUGGACCAGGAUGAAAAGGACCAGCAAAAUACAUCUCGCCUGGUACAGGAACAUAAAAAGCUUUUAGAUGAAAACAAAAGCCUUUCUACCUACUACCAGCAAUGCAAAAAACAACUAGAGGUCAUCAGAAGUCAGCAGCAGAAACGACAAGGCACUUCAUGAUUCUCUGGGACCGUUACAUUUUGAAAUAUGCAAAGAAAGACUUUUUUUUAAGGAAAGGAAAACCUAAUAAUGACGAUUCAUGAGUGUUAGCUUUUUGGCGUGUUCUGAAUGCCAGCUGCCUAUAUUUGCUGCAUUUGUUUCAUUGUUUAUUUUCCUUUUCUCAUGGUGGACAUACAAUUUUACUGUUUCAUUGCAUAACAUGGUAGCAUCUGUGACUUGAAUGAGCAGCAUUUUGCAACUUCAAAACAGAUGCAGUGAACUGUGGCUGUAUAUGCAUGCUCAUUGUGUGAAGCCUAGCCUAACAGAACAGGAGGUAUCAAACUAGCUGCUAUGUGCAAACAUCGUCCAUUUUUUCAUAUUAGAGGUGGAACCUCAAGAAUGACUUUAUUCUUGUAUCUCAUCUCAAAAUAUUAACAAUUUUUUUCCCAAAAGAUGGUGUAUACCAAGUUAAAGACAGGGUAUUAUAAAUUUAGAGUGAUUGGUGGUAUAUUACGGAAAUACGGAACCUUUAGGGAUAGUUCAGUGUAAGGGCUUUGAUGCCAGCAUCCUUGGAUCAGUACUGAACUCAGUUCCAUCCGUAAAAUAUGUGAAGGUAAGUGGCAGCUGCUGUAUUUAAUGAAAGCAGUUUUACCGGAUUUUGUUAGACUAAAAUUUGAUUGUGAUACAUUGAACAAAAUGGAACUCAUUUUUUUUUAAGGAGUAAAGAUUUUUAAUUCUGUGAUUGUGUGUAUGUGUGUUGAAACUGUAAAGCUUUUAUGACUCUAAUAUUAAUCUCUUAAAUGAAAUUAAAAGGCAAAAGAACAUGAUUGAGCUUAAAUGAUCAUUUCUUCCUGCAGUGAUUCUUGGAUUGUUUUCUCAUGUAUUUG